This 356-nucleotide unclassified non-coding RNA is filed under the name Hevea brasiliensis (rubber tree). Lineage: Eukaryota; Viridiplantae; Streptophyta; Magnoliopsida; Malpighiales; Euphorbiaceae. The record is from RNAcentral.
GCAUAUUCAGGAGACAUGUAUCCACUAAAUCAUCAACACCGACAGAGAAAUGUUGGUAAAAAGACAAACAAAAAAAAUUUCUUUAAUGAACCUUGCAAUAAGUACAAAAUUAACCUAAUUGAUGCUUGUAAAUAUUAUUCUGAACAGGGCAUAUCAACUAAUUAAUUAAAACUCACUAAAGCAUGUAUGCUGAUAUGAAGAAGCUCACCUUGAAUUUUCUGGGGUGGAAGUAAUAAGAGCAUGAAUAUAAUGCUAUCUUCUCAUUCUUAAUGCUAUGGAAAAAUUCAUAAAUCUAGAGUAAGCAGAACAAACAGGAAAAGUUGUAAACUUACUAUGUCCCAACAACUCUAUUUGUA